Long non-coding RNA from Phyllopteryx taeniolatus (common seadragon), 1059 nucleotides. RefSeq lists it as uncharacterized. NCBI's taxonomy places the organism in Eukaryota, Metazoa, Chordata, Actinopteri, Syngnathiformes, Syngnathidae. The transcript has 2 exons. The record is from RefSeq and is a predicted model, not a curated record.
UUAUUUCAGCGAGACAAUGUCAAACCACAUUCUGCACGUGUUACAACAGUGUGGCUUCGUAGUAAAAGAGUGCGGCUACUAGACUGGCCUGCCUGCAGUCCAGACCUGUCUCCCAUUGAAAAUGUGUGGCACAUUAUGAAGCGGAAAAUACGACAACGGAGACCCCGCACUGUUGAACAGCUGAAGCUGUACAUCAAGCAAGACUGGGAAAGAAUUCCACCUACAAAGCUUCAACAAUUAGUGUACUCAGUUUCCAAACGUUUAUUGAAGGUUGUUAAAAGAAAAGGUGAUGUAACACAGUGGUAAACAUGACCCUGUCCCAGCAUUUUCAGAACAUGUUGCAACCAUAAAAUUCUAUGUUAAUGAUUAUUUGCUAAAACAAUAAAGUUUAUCAGUUCUAACAUUAAAUAUCUUGUCUUUGUAGUGUAUUCAAUUAAAUAUAGGUCAAACAUGAUUUGCAAAUCAUUGUAUUGUUUUUUAUUUAUGUUUAACACAUCCCAACUUCAUUGGAAUUGGGGUUGUAAUAGGCAGUCUGUGUGGAACUAACCCAACUGACUUAAUAUACAUUAAUUAAUGUUUCAGCUAAAAGCUUAAUAUAGCAUUGUUAAAAUUUUUAUUUGUGACUGUUUUAUUACAGCAAAUGGUUUAUAUGUGCAAGUUUUCACUUGACUUCUGUUCUAAGCAUGGAGCCUUUUAUUUUGAAGGGUGUGCACUGUAACUCAGCAUUUUUGGCACGAAAGGUAACAUUAUACAACACUGGCAUGAAAAACAGUAACGAAUGGAACCAACUGCUCUGUAAAACGCUGAUUUCCUUUACCUAACCACCGAUGAGGCACAUGGUUGGUGUUUGUGAUACUCAAGCGCUUGAAGAAGGCUACCUGAAAUGAAGAGAUCCAUCCAGGCCUGCUGGUGAUCUACGACCAGAUCGUCACCAUUCACCCUGAGCAGCUCUCCCAGCUCUUUUCUGGCUGCAUCCCGGAGGCUGGUGAACGUCUCCUCCAGCUUGGACGGCUCGAUGGGCUCUGAAGUCCUCACAACAGAUAGGAUAUUGUCCGUGUA